Octopus sinensis (East Asian common octopus) is the source of this 181-nucleotide long non-coding RNA. RefSeq lists it as uncharacterized. The transcript has 4 exons. NCBI's taxonomy places the organism in Eukaryota, Metazoa, Mollusca, Cephalopoda, Octopoda, Octopodidae. The record is from RefSeq and is a predicted model, not a curated record.
AUUAGUGGUUCCUGGGCCAAACGCAUCGUUGAUAUCGCGAGCUGAUUCAGCAGCCUUUCGGCCUAGCUUGAGCUGGGAUGAGAAAAUUGUGCGAAUUUGCUUUUUGUCCAUGUUGUAUUCAACAUUCCGGAAAAAUAUGGCCUAUUUUCCAGAAAUACAAAUAGUAAUACGAUUGAUAGAG